UCCGACUUGACGCCGGCAGUCUCGUUAGAGUCCUCAGCAUAACCUGUUAGCAACUAACGACAGGGGUUUCGCUCGUUAAGGGACUUAACCCGACACUUCACAGCACGAGCUGACGACAGCCAUGCAGCACCUGUGCACGUUGUACCCGAAGGCCUGGCUCCCCUUUCAGGGAGUUAAUCCGUGCAUGUCAAACCUAGGAUAAGGUUCUUCGCGUUGCUUCGAAUUGAGCCACAUGCUCCACCGCUUGUGUGAGCCCCCGUCAAUUCCUUUGAGUUUUAGCCUUGCGACCGUACUCCCCAGGCGGUGCACUAAACACUUUUGCUUCGAUCCGGGAGAUGUCAGAACCACCCUGAUCAAGUGCACAUCGUUUACGGCGUGGACUAC
RNAcentral lists this unclassified non-coding RNA (384 nucleotides) under uncultured Phycisphaeraceae bacterium. RNAcentral describes it as "contains 16S-23S intergenic spacer region". Lineage: Bacteria; Pseudomonadati; Planctomycetota; Phycisphaerae; Phycisphaerales; Phycisphaeraceae. The record is from RNAcentral.